Molecule: non-coding RNA, 28 nt
Filed under: Cricetulus griseus (Chinese hamster)
Lineage: Eukaryota; Metazoa; Chordata; Mammalia; Rodentia; Cricetidae
Source: RNAcentral
GUGGAGGAGCGCUCUGGUCGCGGGUCGC